Molecule: ribosomal RNA, 528 nt
Filed under: uncultured bacterium
Lineage: Bacteria
Description: bacterial SSU rRNA
Rfam family: Bacterial small subunit ribosomal RNA
Source: RNAcentral
AAUAGAUACCCAGGUAGUCCACGCCGUAAACGUUGGGCGCUAGAUGUGGGGACCAUUCCACGGUUUCCGUGUCGCAGCUAACGCAUUAAGCGCCCCGCCUGGGGAGUACGGCCGCAAGGCUAAAACUCAAAGGAAUUGACGGGGGCCCGCACAAGCGGCGGAGCAUGCGGAUUAAUUCGAUGCAACGCGAAGAACCUUACCAAGGCUUGACAUAUACGAGAACGCUCUAGAAAUAGAGAACUCUUUGGACACUCGUAUACAGGUGGUGCAUGGUUGUCGUCAGCUCGUGUCGUGAGAUGUUGGGUUAAGUCCCGCAACGAGCGCAACCCUCGUUCUAUGUUGCCAGCGGUUCGGCCGGGAACUCAUAGGAGACUGCCGGGGUCAACUCGGAGGAAGGUGGGGAUGACGUCAAAUCAUCAUGCCCCUUAUGUCUUGGGCUUCACGCAUACUACAAUGGCCGGUACAAAGGGCUGCAAUACCGCAAGGUGGAGCGAAUCCCAAAAAGCCGGUCUCAGUUCGGAUUGAGGU